RNAcentral lists this transfer RNA (77 nucleotides) under Bacteroidia bacterium. RNAcentral describes it as "tRNA-Lys". It matches the Rfam family "tRNA". From Rfam's summary of the family: Transfer RNA (tRNA) molecules are approximately 80 nucleotides in length. The record is from RNAcentral. Lineage: Bacteria; Pseudomonadati; Bacteroidota; Bacteroidia.
GGGUCGUUAGUGUCAAUGGUUAGCACAGGAGACUUUUAAUCUCCUCAGUCUGGGUUCGAAUCCCAGGCGACCUACCA